Molecule: ribosomal RNA, 760 nt
Filed under: uncultured Glomus
Lineage: Eukaryota; Fungi; Glomeromycota; Glomeromycetes; Glomerales; Glomeraceae
Description: eukaryotic LSU rRNA
Rfam family: Eukaryotic large subunit ribosomal RNA
Source: RNAcentral
GCAUAUCAAUAAGCGGAGGAAAAGAAAAUAACAAUGAUUCCUCUAGUAACUGCGAGUGAAGAGGGAAAAGCUCAAAUUUUAAAUCUGUUAGGUUUACCUUAACCGAGUUGUAAUUUGAAGAAGCGUUUUCUGCGAAUUUGGUUAGUUUAAAUCCUUUGGAAUAAGGUAUCAUGGAGGGUGAGAAUCCCGUUCGGUUAACCAAAGCGCUUUACGAUACGCUUUCAAAGAGUCAAGUUGUUUGGGAUUGCAGCUUAAAAUGGGAGGUAAAUUUCUCCUAAGGCUAAAUAUUGGCGAGAGACCGAUAGCGAACAAGUACCGUGAGGGAAAGAUGAAAAGAACUUUGAAAAGAGAGUUAAACAGUACGUGAAAUUGUUGAAAGGGAAACGAUUAAAGUCAGUCGUACCUACGAGUAAUCAACCUACUCGAGUGCGAUUUUGUGGGUAUGUUAGAGCUUAAAAACCUUCAUGCUUACAAAUUGGUACUCUUUGGGCGUACUUUCUCGUAUGGUAGGUUAACAUCAAUUUCGAUCGUUAUAAAAUGACUGGAGGAAUGUAGCUUCGAUCUCGGUUGAAGUGUUAUAGCCUUUGGUAGAUGUAAUGAUUGGGAUUGAGGAUUGCAACGGAUACCCUCUGGGCUAUUCGUCUGAUCUCUGGAAGUUACCUUGGUGUCGAAAGCGUGCUUACGAUAUUAAGGUUGACGGCCAAUAGGUUAGAACGUGAUUAAAUUCGUUAAGGAUGUUGACGUAAUGGCUUUAAACGAC